Aphis gossypii (cotton aphid) is the source of this 599-nucleotide long non-coding RNA. RefSeq lists it as uncharacterized. Lineage: Eukaryota; Metazoa; Arthropoda; Insecta; Hemiptera; Aphididae. The transcript is spliced from 3 exons. The record is from RefSeq and is a predicted model, not a curated record.
UUUACGAUAAACGGUUUUGGGGAAACCGCGGUCUGUUAGCCUAUAAUAGUGGUUCUUAACUGGUGUUCCGCAGAACGCAUGACGUGUUUCCUGGACAUAGAAAAACUGGUCCGUCAAAAUUCAACAUUUUUAAAUUAUUUUUUUAAUUAUUUAAAAUUGCAGUUUAAAAUUGUAUUUAUUAAUUUUAUUAUUUUUCAAUGAUUUAUAUUAUGUGUUUUAUUUUACAGCAGUGUUCCACAAAAAUCAUAUGAAAUAUUUAGAGUACCGUUAUUCGAAAAAUAUGAAGAACCACUGACUAUAAUAUCACUAGGUGCUUGAACUGGUCGUGUCUGAAAUAUAAUGCUGAAAACUAAAACAAAAUAAAAGUGGCAACAAUAAAUAGAUUAAGAACGUCCUCAUACUAAGUACCACAGUCAUAAUACUAAUCGUGACAAUUUAAAUCGUCAUACACGAUUUUAAAAAUACGUUUUUGUACUUUUCAUUUCCGGUCAACCAGUAGCUAGUCGCAGUAUUGAAUAAUAUACAGAAUAUAGCAAGGACGCCCGGAUGAAUUUUUUAAGGGUGAGGCCAACAAUUUUAAAUUAUUAUACAUACACAAU